GCUGUGGUAGCUCAGUGGUAGAGCACUCCCUUGGUAAGGGAGAGGUCGCGAGUUCAAUCCUCGCUCACAGCACCA
This 75-nucleotide transfer RNA is filed under the name Paracoccus onchidii. RNAcentral describes it as "tRNA-Thr". It matches the Rfam family "tRNA". Rfam says of the family: Transfer RNA (tRNA) molecules are approximately 80 nucleotides in length. Lineage: Bacteria; Pseudomonadati; Pseudomonadota; Alphaproteobacteria; Rhodobacterales; Paracoccaceae. The record is from RNAcentral.